Molecule: ribosomal RNA, 476 nt
Filed under: uncultured Leptonema sp.
Lineage: Bacteria; Pseudomonadati; Spirochaetota; Leptospiria; Leptospirales; Leptospiraceae
Description: bacterial SSU rRNA
Rfam family: Bacterial small subunit ribosomal RNA
Source: RNAcentral
UUAAAAGGAAUUAGACGGGGGCCCGCGACAAGCGGUGGAGCAUGUGGUUAAUUCGAUGAUACGCGAAAACCUUACCGGGCUUGACAUGCAUCAGACAGGCGUAGAGAUACGCCCUCCGCGAGGCUGGUGCACAGGUGCUGCAUGGUUGUCGUCAGCUCGUGUCGUGAGAUGUUGGGUUAAGUCCCGCAACGAGCGCAACCCCUACCGUGUGUUACCAUCAUUAAGUUGGGGACUCGCACGGAACUGCCGGUGAUAAACCGGAGGAAGUGGGGAUGACGUCAAAUCCUCAUGGCCUUUAUGUCCGGGGCUACACACGUGCUACAAUGGUCGGUACAGAAGGAAGCGAAGUCGUGAGAUGGAGCAGAUCCGAGAAAGCCGAUCUCAGUUCGGAUUGGAGUCUGCAACUCGCCUACAUGAAGUCGGAAUCGCUAGUAAUCGCGGAUCAGCACGCCGCGGUGAAUACGUUCCCGGGCCUU